Cervus elaphus (red deer) is the source of this 642-nucleotide long non-coding RNA. RefSeq lists it as uncharacterized. NCBI's taxonomy places the organism in Eukaryota, Metazoa, Chordata, Mammalia, Artiodactyla, Cervidae. The transcript has 5 exons. The record is from RefSeq and is a predicted model, not a curated record.
AGGUGACCACGGGCUGUUUUCCUUCACAGUAAAUAGACCACUUCUUACUUUAAAGAUGUAGAAAAGCACAGAAAAGGGGCUGGAAGAGAGGGGCAGUGAAGGUCCCAGGUCAGGACUGCAGCCAAGAAGCUUUCUGAUGAUGCUGAGACACCAAGGGGCCCUGGGUGUCUGGGCAUUUGGGGAAGAAGCCGAACAUGAGUGUCAGACAGCACUGAAGACCCUGAGCCUUUUUCCAGAGACUCUGCUAGGUGCUGGGGGUAUUGGAAAUGAAGAAUGGACCUGUAUUUAAUGAGAGGACUGACAUGUGGACAGCUGAUGACACCACAACCUCACAAAUGAUCUGGAAGAGAGAGGCAUUCAGCUGAGGUCUGUGGGUGGAAGAGGACAAUAAGAAGACUUCUCUGAGGAAACACCAUGACUGCAGAAGAUGCAGACCCAACUGGCUCUCUGGCUCAGCUUCUGGGAUGUGACCCUGGGCUUUCGAAGACAGUGCCAGCAGCUGGGACAGAGAGCCAUUUGAGAUGGAAGUGGGAACAGGAAGCCCACUGUCUCAGAGGACAGGACCUGGGAUGGUGCUCCCCAAGUGAUGGAGGGCUGCAGGGAGUCAGAACAGUGGGGGAGUGAUGGGAGGAGCCAACACCC